UACCCGCAGCACAAGUGGUGGUCAUUAUUAUUGGGCCUAAAGCGUCCGUAGCUGGCGUGUUAGAUGCCUGGGUAAAUCGAUGCGCUCAACGCAUCGAAUUCCGGGUAGACCGGCACGCUCGAGACCGGGAGAGGUGUGGGGUACUCGGGGGGUAGGGGUAAAAUCCUGUAAUCCUCCGGGGACGACCAGUGGCGAAGGCGCCACACUAGAACGGCUCUGACAGUGAGGGACGAAGCCCUGGGGCGCAAACCGG
RNAcentral lists this ribosomal RNA (253 nucleotides) under uncultured bacterium. RNAcentral describes it as "partial 16S ribosomal RNA". It matches the Rfam family "Archaeal small subunit ribosomal RNA", at positions 474 to 727 of the family's 1478-position model. The record is from RNAcentral.